CACGGGGGGAGCAAGCGUUGUUCGGAUUCAUUGGGCGUAAAGGGCUCGUAGGUGGCUUUGUAAGUCGGAGGUGAAAUCCCACGGCUCAACCGUGGACACGCCUUCGAAACUGGGAAGCUUGAGGCUGGGAGAGGAGAUCGGAAUUCCUGGUGUAGCGGUGAAAUGCGUAGAUAUCAGGAGGAACACCGGUGGCGAAGGCGGAUCUCUGGACCAGUUCUGACACUGAUGAGCGAAAGCCAGGGGAGCAAACAGG
RNAcentral lists this ribosomal RNA (253 nucleotides) under uncultured bacterium. RNAcentral describes it as "partial 16S ribosomal RNA". It matches the Rfam family "Bacterial small subunit ribosomal RNA", at positions 524 to 776 of the family's 1533-position model. The record is from RNAcentral.